RNAcentral lists this ribosomal RNA (253 nucleotides) under uncultured bacterium. RNAcentral's name for it is "partial 16S ribosomal RNA". It matches the Rfam family "Bacterial small subunit ribosomal RNA", at positions 524 to 776 of the family's 1533-position model. The record is from RNAcentral.
GACGAACCGUGCGAGCGUUAUCCGGAUUUACUGGGCGUAAAGAGCGCGCAGGCGGUGCGAUCAGUCGAAUGUGAAAGCCCCCGGCUCAACUGGGGAGGGUCAUUCGAUACUGUCGGACUCGAAGGCAGGAGAGGGAAGCGGAAUUCCCGGUGUAGUGGUGAAAUGCGUAGAUAUCGGGAGGAGCACCAGUGGCGAAGGCGGCUUCCUGGCCUGUUCUUGACGCUGAGGCGCGAAAGCUAGGGGAGCAAACGGG